GAUGAAGAACGUAGCGAAAUGCGAUAAGUAAUGUGUAUUGCAGAAUUCAGUGAAUCAUCGAAUCUUUGAACGCACCUUGCGCUCCCUGGUAUUCCGGGAGCACGCCUGUUCGAGUGUCGCGAAAUUCUUCAAGCCUUGGAUGGAUUUUUUUUUGUCUGUCCUUGGGCUUGGUUGUUGGGCUCUGCCGUGUCCUUCAUUGGGACGGCUGGCCUUAAAAGCAUUAGCCGAUCCUCGUGUGGUACUGGUUCUACUCAGCGUGAUAACAAUCUGAUCGUUGAGGACAUCUUCUGGAUGGCCAGUCAUCAUUUGGGUUGCUUCUAAACCGGUUUCGCAGAUUGCUCAAUCUGUGUGCCACUUUUCAGCUUUGACCUCGAAUCAGGUGGGACUACCCGCUGAACUUAAGCAUAUCAAUAAGCGGAGGA
This 422-nucleotide unclassified non-coding RNA is filed under the name soil metagenome. RNAcentral's name for it is "partial contains 5.8S ribosomal RNA, internal transcribed spacer 2, and large subunit ribosomal RNA". The stretch from base 1 to 119 matches the Rfam family "5.8S ribosomal RNA", at positions 35 to 154 of the family's 154-position model. The record is from RNAcentral.